GCCGAAGUGGUGGAAUUGGUAGACACGUCGGUCUCAAAAACCGAUGAUGGCAACAUCAUGCCGGUUCGACUCCGGCCUUCGGCA
RNAcentral lists this transfer RNA (84 nucleotides) under bacterium. RNAcentral describes it as "tRNA-Leu". It matches the Rfam family "tRNA". Rfam says of the family: Transfer RNA (tRNA) molecules are approximately 80 nucleotides in length. Their secondary structure includes four short double-helical elements and three loops (D, anti-codon, and T loops). The record is from RNAcentral. RNAcentral also lists the same sequence under 3 other names.